RNAcentral lists this ribosomal RNA (377 nucleotides) under uncultured bacterium. Its description in RNAcentral is "bacterial SSU rRNA". It matches the Rfam family "Bacterial small subunit ribosomal RNA", at positions 523 to 898 of the family's 1533-position model. The record is from RNAcentral.
AUACGAAAGGUGCGAGCGUUAAUCGGAAUUACUGGGCGUAAAGCGCGCGUAGGCGGCUGCUUAAGUCUGAUGUGAAAUCCCCGGGCUCAACCUGGGAAUGGCAUCGGAUACUGGGUAGCUAGAGUGCAGUAGAGGAAGGUGGAAUUCCAGGUGUAGCGGUGAAAUGCGUAGAGAUCUGGAGGAACACCAGUGGCGAAGGCGGCCUUCUGGACUGACACUGACGCUGAGGUGCGAAAGCGUGGGGAUCAAACAGGAUUAGAUACCCUGGUAGUCCACGCCGUAAACGAUGUCUACUAGCCGUUGGUGCCCUUAGUGGUGCUGGUGGCGCAGCUAACGCAAUAAGUAGACCGCCUGGGGAGUACGGCCGCAAGGUUAAA